RNAcentral lists this long non-coding RNA (323 nucleotides) under Sorghum bicolor (sorghum). RNAcentral's name for it is "long non-coding RNA (SBIC_LNC010722)". The record is from RNAcentral. Lineage: Eukaryota; Viridiplantae; Streptophyta; Magnoliopsida; Poales; Poaceae.
GAUGCUUAUGCAUGACUUUGAUAAGAUUAAGUGCAUGCUUAACACCUAGGGUGUUACAGCCCUUCCCCCCUUAGGGAAAUCUCGUCCUGAGAUUUUGGGUUACUAACCAUUUCUUAUGAAAUUUUGGAUAAACUGUUUUUAAGUAAUCCUCUGUUUCCCAGGUGGCAUCCCUAUGGUCAUGAUGACUCCACACCACCUUAUAUGUUCUGACAAUUUUGUUUCGGGUUACUCGCUCCUUGGUAUCCACAAUCUCCACUGGCUGCUCUUUAUACUCUAGGUCUGCUUUUAUCUUGAUUCCUCGAGGUUCAAUUCUUUGUUCAGGU